Molecule: non-coding RNA, 24 nt
Filed under: Arabidopsis thaliana (thale cress)
Lineage: Eukaryota; Viridiplantae; Streptophyta; Magnoliopsida; Brassicales; Brassicaceae
Source: RNAcentral
ACCCACGAAGAGCAUGAUGGGUCC